AUACCCUUUACUUCUCUCUGUUGCCUGAUUGCCCUGGCCAGAACCUCCAACAUUUAAUCCAUCUUGAGUUGAUUUUAGUAUAUGGUGAAGGAAGGGGUCCAGUUUCAGUCUUCUGCAUGUGUCUAGCCAGUUAUCUCAGCACAGACCACUCACAGAAAGACAAACACAGCAUGACCUCAUUUAUAUGUGAAAUCUAAUAAAGUCAACUUCAUAGAAGCUGACAGCAGAAUGGUGGUUGCUAGGCGCUAGAAGAAGAGGGGGAAUGAAAAGAGGUGGUCAACUGGUACAAAGUUUCAGUUAGAGAGGAUAUAUAAGUUCUGAAGAUCUAUUGUAUAACAUGAUAAUGAUGGUUAAUAAUAAUGAAUUUUAAACUGAAAAAUGCUAAGAGAGUAGAUCUUAAAUACUCUCAACAUGAAAAAAAUAACCAUGUGAAGUAAUGAACAUAUUAACUAAUUGGUUGUGGCAAACAUUUGGCAAUGUAUAUGUAUAUCAAAACAUCAUUUUUACACCAUAAAUAAAUGUGAUUUUACAUGUAAAACUGGCUAUAAAACAACAAACACAAACAUGAUCUCACAUGUGAAUUUUUUAAGCCAAAUUUAUCAAAGAGAGUAGAAUGGUGAUUUGUAGAGGCUGGGGUUAGAAAAAAUAGAGACAUGUUGGUCAAAGAGUACAAAGUCGGGGUUUUGUGGGACGAAUAAUUCUGGAGAUCUAAUGUGCAGCAUGCUAACUAUACUUAAUUCUGUAUUAUAAACUUGAAAUAUGCUAAGAGAGUUGACCUUAAGUGUUUCCAUCAAACACAAAAAGGAAACCUUAACUCUGAGUUGAUGAAUACGCUGAUUAGCUUGAUUGUGGUACUCUUUUCACCAUGUAUACAUAUAUCAAAAUGUCACUUCGUAUACCUUAAAUAUGCACAAGUAUUAUUCGUCAAGUAUACCUCAAUAAAUCUGGGGGGAAAAUAGGGGGUAGAAAUCCAGUAUGAUAAAGAAUGAAUGUACACUUUGAUAGUGAAACAAGUGGGGAAAAAGUAUUCUUUUUAAAAGAUGAGAUGAUAAGGCUAAUAGUCAGGUAGGCAUAUACUUUUACUGUGACAUAAUAAGGAAGAUGAAUUUUGUUCUCUAUCUAUCUUCUACACACACACAUAUUUGUAGACAUAUAUAUCUGCAUAUAUAUAAUAUUGACACUAUAUAUAUAGAGAGAGAGACUAAAUAGCAGAUGGCCUGCAAAGAUUCAAAAAUAUAUAAAUACGUGGGGGGUGGGGGCAGUGCCAAUUACUCCCAGCAAAAACAGCAAACUAUGCCUUUCAGAGUACCUUUGAAUAAAAUUCCAGAACAAUAAAUCCAUACAAAUGGGCUAUCUUGAUCUUCAUAAUAAAGAAAAAGAUGAGCUCGUUUUCUG
This 1395-nucleotide long non-coding RNA is filed under the name Pan troglodytes (chimpanzee). RNAcentral describes it as "long non-coding RNA NONPTRT004523". The record is from RNAcentral. Lineage: Eukaryota; Metazoa; Chordata; Mammalia; Primates; Hominidae.